UUGAUAGAGGUUGCGUUUUUCAUAAGUAAAAGACCGGAUGUGACAGGCACAGAGGAAGGCUUUUGAAAGGGGAAAACGCCGAAAGGAAAAAGAACCUGGAGCUUUUUUGCUUGGGCAUACAGUUAAGAGCUGUAUGACUGUCAUCGAAACAGAUGGGGCGCUAUCAGU
RNAcentral lists this non-coding RNA (168 nucleotides) under human gut metagenome. Its description in RNAcentral is "Lysine riboswitch". It matches the Rfam family "Lysine riboswitch aptamer". From Rfam's summary of the family: Riboswitches are metabolite binding domains within certain messenger RNAs that serve as precision sensors for their corresponding targets. Allosteric rearrangement of mRNA structure is mediated by ligand binding, and this results in modulation of gene expression. The record is from RNAcentral.